CUGACCAAAUAAAUGAAGACAAACAUAAUAUACUUUGACCAGGGCGUGACACACACUGAUUUUCUUGUAGCAGUACAAUUCGUUGUAAUUGACUGCUGUUACUUUUCCAGAUUCUUAAUUGUCCUUCAGACAUCCUAAUCUAUUUUAAGGUGACUCAGAGUUACUGAUGGUGUCAUCAGUCUGGUGGAGCCUUCUGCCAUAACAGACAUCCAUGCAGUUGAGGAUGAAGACACCUUGUCAGCUGCCACAGAGAGGGAAGAUACAGAGAGGCCUAUUGAGAGCAAUGCUGGAAAUUACAAUGAGGAAGAGGGUCCCUCCACCUUCACAGCACAAUUUACCUCACUCCCUGUGAAACAGCUGUACAAUGUGUACUUACAGAAACAAAUUGAAAAAUGUCAUUUAGAAAUUGACCACAUAAGGCUGCAGAUGCAAAAGAUAAAAAUAUAAAUACAACUGCUAGAACAUCAGUUAAAGGUGGGUGUGGUGCCCACAGGUGGAUGAUUUUACUUGUUUGAACAACAUAAAAAUAUGAACUACUGUAUUGCAUUUGUACUU
This is a long non-coding RNA of Oncorhynchus kisutch (coho salmon), 555 nucleotides long. RefSeq lists it as uncharacterized. The record is from RefSeq and is a predicted model, not a curated record. The transcript is spliced from 5 exons. NCBI's taxonomy places the organism in Eukaryota, Metazoa, Chordata, Actinopteri, Salmoniformes, Salmonidae.